AUACGGAGGGUGCAAGCGUUACUCGGAAUCACUGGGCGUAAAGCGCGCGCAGGCGGCUUGAUAAGUUGGAUGUGAAAGCCUACGGCUCAACCGUAGAACUGCAUCCAAAACUGUCAAGCUGGAGUCUGGGAGGGGAAGAUGGAAUUAGUUGUGUAGGGGUAAAAUCCGUAGAGAUAACUAGGAAUACCAAAAGCGAAGGCGAUCUUCUGGAACAGUACUGACGCUGAGGCGCGAAAGCGUGGGGAGCAAACAGGAUUAGAAACCCGAGUAGUCC
RNAcentral lists this ribosomal RNA (274 nucleotides) under uncultured bacterium. Its description in RNAcentral is "partial 16S ribosomal RNA". It matches the Rfam family "Bacterial small subunit ribosomal RNA", at positions 523 to 796 of the family's 1533-position model. The record is from RNAcentral.